This 1059-nucleotide ribosomal RNA is filed under the name uncultured Archaeoglobus sp. RNAcentral's name for it is "bacterial SSU rRNA". It matches the Rfam family "Archaeal small subunit ribosomal RNA", at positions 31 to 1076 of the family's 1478-position model. Lineage: Archaea; Methanobacteriati; Methanobacteriota; Archaeoglobi; Archaeoglobales; Archaeoglobaceae. The record is from RNAcentral.
UAUCCGGCUGGGACUAAGCCAUGCGAGUCAAGGGGCUUGUAUCCCUUCGGGGAUACAAGCACCGGCGGACGGCUCAGUAACACGUGGACAACCUGCCCUCGGGUGGGGGAUAACCCCGGGAAACUGGGGCUAAUCCCCCAUAGGGGAUGGGUACUGGAAUGUCCCAUCUCCGAAAGCGCUCAGCGCCCGAGGAUGGGUCUGCGGCGGAUUAGGUUGUUGGUGGGGUAACGGCCCACCAAGCCGAAGAUCCGUACGGGCCAUGGGAGUGGGAGCCCGGAGAUGGACCCUGAGACACGGGUCCAGGCCCUACGGGGCGCAGCAGGCGCGAAACCUCCGCAAUGCGGGAAACCGCGACGGGGUCAGCCGGAGUGCUCGCGCAUCGCGCGGGCUGUCGGGGUGCCUAAAAAGCACCCCAUAGCAAGGGCCGGGCAAGGCCGGUGGCAGCCGCCGCGGUAAUACCGGCGGCCCGAGUGGCGGCCACUUUUAUUGGGCCUAAAGCGUCCGUAGCCGGGCUGGUAAGUCCUCCGGGAAAUCUGGCGGCUUAACCGUCAGACUGCCGGAGGAUACUGCCAGCCUAGGGACCGGGAGAGGCCGGGGGUAUUCCCGGGGUAGGGGUGAAAUCCUGUAAUCCCGGGAGGACCACCUGUGGCGAAGGCGCCCGGCUGGAACGGGUCCGACGGUGAGGGACGAAGGCCAGGGGAGCGAACCGGAUUAGAUACCCGGGUAGUCCUGGCUGUAAACGAUGCGGACUAGGUGUCACCGAAGCUACGAGCUUCGGUGGUGCCGGAGGGAAGCCGUUAAGUCCGCCGCCUGGGGAGUACGGCCGCAAGGCUGAAACUUAAAGGAAUUGGCGGGGGAGCACUACAACGGGUGGAGCCUGCGGUUUAAUUGGAUUCAACGCCGGGAAGCUUACCGGGGGAGACAGCGGGAUGAAGGUCGGGCUGAAGACCUUACCAGACUAGCUGAGAGGUGGUGCAUGGCCGCCGUCAGUUCGUACUGUGAAGCAUCCUGUUAAGUCAGGCAACGAGCGAGACCCGCGCCCCCAGUUGCCAGCGGUUC